AGAAUCAACGCUGGCGGCGUGCCUAACACAUGCAAGUCGCACGAGAAAGGGACUUCGGUCCCGAGUACAGUGGCGCACGGGUGAGUAACACGUGAAUAAUCUACCUCCGAGUGGGGAAUAACUGAGAGAAAUCUUAGCUAAUACCGCAUAACACUUACGAGUCAAAGCAGCAAUGCGCUUGGAGAGGAGUUCGCGGCAGAUUAGUUAGUUGGCGGGGUAAUGGCCCACCAAGACGAUGAUCUGUA
This 245-nucleotide ribosomal RNA is filed under the name uncultured bacterium. Its description in RNAcentral is "partial small subunit ribosomal RNA". It matches the Rfam family "Bacterial small subunit ribosomal RNA", at positions 26 to 285 of the family's 1533-position model. The record is from RNAcentral.